This 230-nucleotide non-coding RNA is filed under the name Bacillus licheniformis. RNAcentral describes it as "T-box sequence". It matches the Rfam family "T-box leader". From Rfam's summary of the family: Uncharged tRNA acts as the effector for transcription antitermination of genes in the T-box leader family. T-boxes are found upstream of many aminoacyl-tRNA synthetase genes and some amino acid biosynthetic genes usually in Gram-positive bacteria. The record is from RNAcentral. RNAcentral also lists the same sequence under 1 other name. Lineage: Bacteria; Bacillati; Bacillota; Bacilli; Caryophanales; Bacillaceae.
UGAAAAACGUUUGAGAGGGACAGACAUUGAUUCCUGAAAACAAUGAAAGCGACCCGGGGGCGGUGUAAGCCCGGGAUUGUUGGAAUCGUUGUGUAUCAGCCCUCAAGUUUCCUUUCUGAACCGUCCAGUAGGAAAGGACGUCCCAUCACGUUACGAUGUUUGAGCGGAUAAGCCGAAUCGGCUUGUCUAAAAGGGUGGUACCGCGAGAUCAAAGCCUUCUCGUCCCUUAU